RNAcentral lists this ribosomal RNA (717 nucleotides) under Corynebacterium casei. RNAcentral describes it as "bacterial SSU rRNA". It matches the Rfam family "Bacterial small subunit ribosomal RNA", at positions 336 to 1061 of the family's 1533-position model. Lineage: Bacteria; Bacillati; Actinomycetota; Actinomycetes; Mycobacteriales; Corynebacteriaceae. The record is from RNAcentral.
UUCCUACGGGAGGCAGCAGUGGGGAAUAUUGCACAAUGGGCGCAAGCCUGAUGCAGCGACGCCGCGUGGGGGAUGAAGGCCUUCGGGUUGUAAACUCCUUUCGCUAUCGACGAAGCCACUUGUGGUGACGGUAGGUAGAUAAGAAGCACCGGCUAACUACGUGCCAGCAGCCGCGGUAAUACGUAGGGUGCAAGCGUUGUCCGGAAUUACUGGGCGUAAAGAGCUCGUAGGUGGUUUGUCGCGUCGUCUGUGAAAUCCCGGGGCUUAACUUCGGGCGUGCAGGCGAUACGGGCAUAACUUGAGUGCUGUAGGGGAGACUGGAAUUCCUGGUGUAGCGGUGAAAUGCGCAGAUAUCAGGAGGAACACCGAUGGCGAAGGCAGGUCUCUGGGCAGUAACUGACGCUGAGGAGCGAAAGCAUGGGUAGCGAACAGGAUUAGAUACCCUGGUAGUCCAUGCCGUAAACGGUGGGCGCUAGGUGUAGGGGGCUUCCACGUCUUCUGUGCCGUAGCUAACGCAUUAAGCGCCCCGCCUGGGGAGUACGGCCGCAAGGCUAAAACUCAAAGGAAUUGACGGGGGCCCGCACAAGCGGCGGAGCAUGUGGAUUAAUUCGAUGCAACGCGAAGAACCUUACCUGGGCUUGACAUGUACCGGAUCGGGCUAGAGAUAGUCUUUCCCUUGUGGUCGGUAUACAGGUGGUGCAUGGCUGUCGUCAGCUC